GCCCGGAUAGCUCAGUCGGUAGAGCAUAAGACUUUUAAACUGAGCGUCCAGGGUUCAAGUCCCUGUUCGGGCG
Molecule: transfer RNA, 73 nt
Filed under: Danio rerio (zebrafish)
Lineage: Eukaryota; Metazoa; Chordata; Actinopteri; Cypriniformes; Danionidae
Rfam family: tRNA
About the family: Transfer RNA (tRNA) molecules are approximately 80 nucleotides in length. Their secondary structure includes four short double-helical elements and three loops (D, anti-codon, and T loops).
Source: Rfam by way of RNAcentral